RNAcentral lists this small RNA (243 nucleotides) under Otolemur garnettii (small-eared galago). Its description in RNAcentral is "Metazoan signal recognition particle RNA (ENSOGAG00000027443.1)". Lineage: Eukaryota; Metazoa; Chordata; Mammalia; Primates; Galagidae. The record is from RNAcentral.
GCCGGGCAUUGUGGUGGGUGCCUGUAGUCCUAGAUACUCAGGAGGCUGAGGCAAGAGAAUUGCUUAAACCCAAGAGUUUGAAGUUGCUGUGAACCGUGACACUACGGCACUCUACCAAAGGUGACAUAGUGAGAGUCUGUCUCAAAAAAAGAAACAGAGUCUCAUUUUGUCACCCUUGGUAGAGUGCCAUAGCAUCAUAGCUAAUAGCAACUUCAAACUCCUGGUCUUAAGUGAUCCUCUUGU